This is a long non-coding RNA of Aegilops tauschii subsp. strangulata, 2119 nucleotides long. RefSeq lists it as uncharacterized. NCBI's taxonomy places the organism in Eukaryota, Viridiplantae, Streptophyta, Magnoliopsida, Poales, Poaceae. The record is from RefSeq and is a predicted model, not a curated record.
UGGUGAUCAAUCACUGUUGCUUGUCAGAAAACUCUGAAAAUAUUAUUGAGUACAUCUACCAUGAGCUAUGCUUGCCAUUUUAAAAGAUGUUUAUGUGAGCUUCAUGUCAUAUCAAUUUUUUUGAAGCAAGCAGAUCUUGCGAUUUACUUAUGAUUUAUGAACAGAAAAUGUUUACUGUGUAACCCCUAAAUACAGUAGAAGAGAUUAGAGAAGCAGGUCUUAUAAAACUACGCUGAGACGAGUAGUACUUAUUUAGUCAAGUGACAUGUUAGAUAAAAUUCUACACCUAUUACAACUUAUCUGACUUCUGUAUUUUGUAAAGAUAGCUGAACUAGAUUGUGUUCUAGGAAUAAAAAACCAUGGAUGUUUUCCAUUUAUUCACUUGGCUUUUGGAAUUUGAUUGAUGUCCCCUUUCUCAUAUUAUUAACAACAUAUACCUACACAGUUCUCUCUACUGGUUUGCCAAAUUCUAGACACUUCUUGUGUGGUCCAUGCUUCCUCUUUGUACUAUGCUUACCUACAUUCGUAAUAUCACUCCUUUAUUCCCUUGACGUGCUUUUCCUUUACAAAGAAGAAUACACACCAUGGGGAAAAGAGAAGUAAAUUUGUAUUUGUAGUCUACAAACAGGGCGUCCUAAUUAUUUGUUCGAGCAUGCUACAGUCUUGUUUUCUCUGCCGUGUCUUCUCCUUUUCUUAGUAGUGUCACUACUGAUUGAUCUGCUCAGAUGUGCUAUUUAGAGUUUGAUAUAGAUAUAUACUAGCUAUUUUAUUAGGAGUUGGUGGUAAAGAUGAACUAAUGGUCGAUCCUCCCUGCUGUCCUCGCUGCACUUCAUGCAAAAUCAUUGGGCCGGUACUGGGAGUACCUCAUUUAUGAUGGAUCUUAUACUUCAAAGCUUAUUUAUAUUGUCUAAUAUGUUUUAUUUGUACUAAUUCAGUAAAUUUAAUUUAUCUUUUGGCUUAAUAUGUCCAAGGUAUUGAUAUAGUAAUAUUUUGUUACCUGAUUAAAGCUCAAACAUACUGCUUCAGUAUCUCCCAGUAGGUGCCUCAGAAUUAUGCAGUUGAUCGUACCAUACUGCUACUUGAAUAAAAAUGUUUAUCUUUGUGUUCUACACUGAAGCUAUCAUAUGAAGUUUAAUUAUUUUAAGCGUUCAUCACCAAAACUACUUUGUUGGUAGUGAAAGGCUUCAUAGAAUUUCAUAGAUGUUGCACAUCAUGAGAUUAACCCGUAGAAGAAUGUAUUCAUAACCAUAUGACGUGUGUGAUGUUGGGUUAUAGCCGUUGUAUGCUGAAAGGCUUUUUCCCUUGCUUCCUUCCAUUUUCUUCUAUGUGCAUUGACUAGACGUAUGUUUUUACAAUGUGGCAUGGUUUGAGCAUUUUAAAUUCUUUACACGCUUCCAUUAUUUCCCGCCCCAUUUAUAUUGGUAUGUCCUUUAAAUAGCAGGCAGGUACAUGUGUGAUGGCACAAUAUAACUCAGUGUUAGCUGGCUUAUAAUCUCUUAUCCCUUGAAAGACUUCAAAGAUGGCAUCUCAUGGGACAACACAAGAGACCAUAUAGUAAAGGAAAAGAUGCAAACACGAUAGGCAGGACCAAAAGUAUUUUUAAUGAGCCUGAAAAAUCAUAACGGAGACCGGUAUUGCUACAAUUGUAAGUUGUGAUCCUAAAUCUGAGCUUGAUGGUGCUGAAAUUACUAAUGAAUUGUAGGUAGUGCAUGUCGAUAUGGCACUUGUGAAAACUAAAUAUUUGGUAUGGAGUCGCAAAAACUGUAAUACUCUUGGUAAUGCAGAAUUUUUUUGCAUGGCAACCUUUGUAAGUGACUAAUAUCCUGCCUCUAUCACGAAUUGCAUCAUGCUUUGUGUGUUAACAGUUCAUUUUGUUUUUUUGUUUGUAGAUUCAAAAGAUAAAUGGAUGAUUAUAUGGGUGUGUGGGCAAGCAUACUACUAUGAUGACGAUGAUGUUCGUGUUCAUGAUGAUGGAGACGGAUGCUUUCAGUUUUAGUAAAGUUGUAGGGAUGAUGUUCCUGUUGGACGAUGUUCCUCAAUUAUGUUUUAGUUAAUCUGUAGGGAUGUUGAUGCAUGCUUUCAAUUUAAGUUUCACCAUCAAGAGAACAUUUAUAUUAUA